RNAcentral lists this long non-coding RNA (5180 nucleotides) under Pan troglodytes (chimpanzee). RNAcentral describes it as "long non-coding RNA NONPTRT012058". The record is from RNAcentral. Lineage: Eukaryota; Metazoa; Chordata; Mammalia; Primates; Hominidae.
CCAAUAUUAUAUAACAAGAUGUUUUAUUGACACUGAGUUUAUAACUCUUUAAGACAAAAUUAGAAGUGGACCAAUAACAAAAUGUUCAUCCAAACAAAGGAAAAAUGCCUGCCAAAAUUGUAUAUUUAUUACUACGGUUAAGCCUAUUUAGGUAGUUCAAAUCAAAUACAAGAGAACACAUCAGGUCAUCAUAUUUUUUUUUCACUGUUAAAAUGAGGUAUUCUGGCUUUACAAUGUUGUAAGUUGAAGUAAGCAGUUUAAUCAAAGUUACAAGAAAGAAGACGAGAUAUAUACUUGGACAAUUAUUUCCUAGGGGUAAAAAGCCAAGUGAAAUGUGUAUGAAUAAGAUAAUUAAGCCACAGAAUACAUUUCAGAAUAUCGAGAAGCUUAUGUGCAAAAUUUUAAUUCUAACCUUAAAAUUGGUAUACUUUAUUAUUAUUAUCAUUUUACUUAGCAAACAACAUGCACCAUACUGUAAAACGAGCAAUACAGGACAAAAUAGCAUAUCUAUUAGAGCAUUUAUCAGGUUCACGUAUCAUCUGAAUUGACCAAGACUUAUUUUCACUAUGACAAUUUGUGUAUUUUUCUAAUUGCUCAUCAGUGAGGUUAAGUAGUACAGUUGGCAUAUACACACAAAGAAUGCAUACACAAUCUGUAUUUAAUACUUAUUAUUAUAUUGGGGUAUAAGUUACUAAGUAUAAUAGCAGCAAGGUACCACUAUUUCUAGAACAUGUUCUAAGACUUAUAUUGAGACUGUAGAUUCACGCCUGAAGUGUUAUUAGUGCUAUAAACUAAUAACAAAUGUAAAAUUGCAAAUGUACAGAGCUACCAAAGGCCUAUUUGACUUUUCAAAGUGCUGUGCUUCUUGUUGGGCUUAAUGUUUGUGAGCAAGCCCCUGCUAUUUGAAUUAAGUAUUGGUCCCAAGUUCUGGGCUCCAAUCAGGUAUAGUUCUAAUGAUUGGAUGUAGGUUGAGGGGUAGAAUAAUGCAUUUGAAAAGAGUAAGAAGCAAUAACCACUGUGAUAAGAGUGUAUUGGACAUCACUGAACACAUGUGCCUAUCACUGUAAGCUUUGCCAGCAUCCUGUGGUUAGCAAUAAUCAGCAGAUGAUGGAGAAUGGCCAGGAGACAAAAGGAAAAAGUAGUAUUCUAUGAAGGAGACGGGAAGGAAUGACACAGAAUAUGCCUCUAGACUGUUGAUGGGCUUGCCUCGGCCAAUGGUGAGCCUGAAUUCCCCCCAAAUGUAAGGGUAAAUAUUUAUCUAAUCUAUUCGGCUUAGAAAUGAGUUUGAAAAGUCCUAAAAAGUUUUGUUGGAGAAUAUAAUAGAAUACUAUAUCCACUGCAGGGUAGAAAGAAUUUUCUUGAAUUAUUUGUAUAGUGUCUAAGACUGUGAUAUUUUGAGAAAAUCAAUCGCAUUUUGUGGUGUAUUCUUCUGGGUUAGGGCCUGUUUAGGGUUAUAGUGCUAUUGGAGUCCUUGUUUCUAGAAGGAAACUGGGGAAUCCAGAAGCUACGGAGAGCGUCCCUUGGGGUAGUAAUGAGCUGUUUGGUAUCAUUUGAAAUUAAGGGUAAAGUUUCUAGCUAAAUUACUUAUCACUCAAACAGUUCACUCUGUGUGUCCCAAGGCAAUGGUUGUAAGUGACAACGCUAUGGUGCCAAACACCAGGGAGCAGCCAGAGGCAGAGGGCCAAGAUAUCCUGGAACAUUAGUGGAACUCAGAAGACAACCAUGUUCUAUGCUAUGCAAAAGAAACUUCCUGUCAGUUUGGAUAUUUGAUGCUAUCAUUUCUAUUCACUUCCUCUUGGCAUAACAAGUCUACUUAGCAUGUAUUGGGAAAGCCCACCUCUCAAGAGUCCACAUACAUGUUGGCAGAUUUCUUUGAGCUCUACACAUUUCAUUAUAUGGAUCAUCAAAGGUGCCAUUCCUAGGUAAGUUCUGCCAUCCUACAUCACACUGUUGGGAAAUAAGCCCAAGCAGCUUUUCCACCCAAGCCACAGAAGGAAGAAUAGCAUAUCUGCACACCCCCUGAGUAUAAGGCAUUUAAUCUAAUCAUUAGGGACCUUAUGAUUUGGGGAGCUAAUCAACCAAGAUUUGCAAAUCAGUCAGCACUGAAGUAGCAGACAGCAUCUUCAAAGAUGAAGGAACCAAGAAAGAUUUAGCACAGGAUCACAUGCUCAGCUAACGGAGCGGAGUCUCAUGGCUGUGCUCCAAUCAUUAGCCCACUCUGUUUCUUAGAAUCUAACAGUAAAAAUUUGAAAUUAGCUACUAAGAAACACCACACAAACUUCAACUGUGGCAUGAACUAAAUCUGCAGGAUGGACUGGUUUCAUGUAGCUCUUUCACUUCCCAGGAAGAAGUAGUUUCAUUUCCAUCUGAAUUUCUUCUGUUGCUCCACCUUUAGCAUUGUGCUAAGCCUCCUAGCUGGGAGGUAGUAAUGUCUCAUUGGGAAGCACUUUCUCAUGGCAAGAUUCUCAAAACGAGAGAUGGAAAGUCCCGCCACACCAUAAAACUGCAUUUAAUUCCAGAAUACUCUACUAUGUUGUCUUAUUGAGAAGAAACAAUUUUUUUGGAUGAAUAUGAGAUCAUGUAAAAAGAACUAGGAUUCCUAAGAUGGAUCAUUACCUGGGCUCAGAUUUUGUGCUUUUCUUUGAGUUUAUAAUAAAAUCCUGGGACUGUGGCUUAACUGCUCUCAGUAAUUCAGGGUUUAGAUUCAGUGCUAAGGAAAAUGACUAAAAGUAAUUACUAUUGAGUUUAAUACAGCAAACACAAAAACUUUUUUUGGCAUGACCCUCUUGGAGGUCUGCCACUAAUUUAAAAUUUAAUCUUCAAUAACUUAUUCCCUUCCAUUAAGUCCAUCUCGACCUCUCUCUCCAAUCCUUCUGUAUCCAUGAAAUCAUGGUGGUAUCUCUAAAAGGCUCAAAGUUCAAGCCUGUAAACACUACUCUAACCGAACUAAAACCUUUGAUGGUCCCCUUUGCCACAAAGCCAUGGAAAUGUGGCUGUGUGGGAAAUGGUCCAGGGAGCUCAUGAAUAGCUCAGUUAUAUUUCAGAAUAAAUAUGACCUAAAAUUCUGUGAAACUAAAGUCCUCUUUGGCUCAAUCAAGUAGCUUCUUAGCUGAUCUUGAAGUUAGUUCUGAGCAAGUAUGAGAGCCUUGUUUUGAUCUGAAAGGUCUCCAGAACUUGUGAGAAUAAGUGAUGUGGUUGGGUCACUAUUUUAUUGUUGGCAGUUGCAGAAUGAGUCAUGAACCUAAAAUCUGUUUUCCCUCUGUCCCACAUGCCUGAGUUCUCCUGUCUGGUCUCAUGGUCAAGGAGCAGAAGGCACACAUCCUUUACAAUAUGUUAAGCAACUUUUUCUUGAGGCAGAGAUUCUGCUGAUGCCAGGGUGUUUAUCAAGGGAAAAUUGUAAAUAAUCCUCCUAUCUCCCAGAACUCUUGUGCAGACUUUCAAAUUGCAAGCAAGGCUGGCAGCUCCAAGCAGCAUGAAGGAGUGAGCACCUGCACGCACCACGCAGGGCAGGACUCCAUGCAUGCAACCUUGGUACAGUUUUCUGGGCUUUUGUGUCAUGCUUGAUGACAUUUAUCAUGCAAACACUGAGGUGCACUUAAAUGUUACAACCCAAGUGAAGUGCAACCAUAUAUUUAAGAACUAAAGGACAAAAUCAUGUAAACAUUUCAUGGAACAGUCAGCAGCCCUUGGGUGUUACUGGCAUCCUAUGUAGAUACUUGUCAACACACCUGGCCUCAUAGCACCAAACAGCUGGACAAAGCCGAGGCUCAAAUAAAACAGAGAACAGUAAUUCUCCUCUUGCCUCCUUAUCUCUUUGCCAAGUAACAAAGGGUAAAAAGUGGGGAAAUGAUGUAGCCCCUAGCAAUUGACCAAAAAUUAAAAACAAAAGCAAAAUGAAAUAACAACAAAAAUAAAACCCUGAGGGUAGACCAGGGAUUUCAGAGCUUGUCGUUAGCAUUUAGCAUCAGAAUUGAAGGAAAGUUUAGAAAGCGAGAGAACACACUUACUUACUCUUAUCCAGAGAAGGCCCUACAGAAUUUGACAUUAUCCCAGAAAACCCUUUGGGGAGGGGUUCAAAUGCAAAAAAAGGAAAGUUCAACCAGAUUUUCCCAGAGGCAUUUCUAUUAUGACCUCCUCAAGGGUGCAAGCUAAAAGCCAGGGCUUAAAUUGUUUUACAGAACGUAUAGGGUGGAAGACCAAGAGUUGGGGGUGUGCAUGUGCUUUUAGUACCUCACCUAGGACACCCCUAUCUGCAAGCAACAUGCAAAAUCCAUCUAUGGGCAUCAAAAGACAGAAACAGGAAACUGCUGGAAGAAGAGUCUGACAAUCUUUAUAAAUGCAUACAUCCAUUCGGGACUCCAUGUUUAUAUUUCCUUCUUAAGAAUCCAGAAGCUGCCACUUCCUUAGGGAUUCUCAGAUGGUGCUGAGGAGCAACAAAGUGCACACAUUUCCAUGCCUAGUUUUCUUUCUAGAGCCUUUCUUUUCAACACUCUUCCGGAGGGUCUACUUAUGAACUAAUAGCUCUUCACGACCCAUUUUAUCUUCGUUCAUGGGCAUGACUUGGUAGUGACUUCUCAGAUCUAGACCACAUCCACACAUGUAUACUGUCCCCAGGAGGACUGGGGGAGCCAGGACAUGAACAGCAGAGUCAGGAAUCACUCACAGCCCUGAGAUGCGUGGUCCUGUUCAGGAGAGAAAGACCAUAGCAGCAUCUAUCCUGGGUAAGAAAAGUUCAGUAAGCUCCUGUGUGAGUGCUCUUGAUGUAAGAAGCACGGCAGAUAUUUAAUCUAUAAAUAAAUAAAUAAAUAAAUAAGUCAAUCAAAACACAAGAGGGCUCUUUAUAGAUAAGCACCUCUUAUCAAUAAAAAAAAAAUCCCCUCUUGAGUUUCAAAGCCCUCAUGCAGUAGUGAUUGGUAGGCUCAAAACAACCUGCAGAAAGUAGAACCAUCAAGAGAAGGACUGGAAAUGUUCCAACACUAGGUAUUUCUCACUUGGUGACACACGAGUCAUCCUAAAUAUCCCCGAGGUAGUCUUGUUUUCAAGGAGUUAUAGAAUGCCUCCAAAUCCACUUGGAGCUUCCUCCUUUAAUGCCAUUGCACUUUCCCAUGCAUCCUGCGCCUGCUUCCAUGGUGCCAUGGAUAAGGGGACUUUGCCAAAAUGAUGCAGGUGCUCUACCUGGC